This is a non-coding RNA of Triticum urartu, 2490 nucleotides long. The record is from RefSeq and is a predicted model, not a curated record. Lineage: Eukaryota; Viridiplantae; Streptophyta; Magnoliopsida; Poales; Poaceae.
AGAAAAACUCCCGAAAAAGCAGGAGAAGAAAAACUCUGACGACCUCCACUUCUCCCACGACCUGCCAGUCUCAUCUCACAUCUCCUCAUCUCUCCCUCUUUCCCGCGACCAACCCUGCACCCUCCCUCCGAUCAAACUCCUACGUCGUCCCCGCUAUCGUCGGUUCUCCCUCUCUCCCUGAUUGUUCCCAAUCGAUCUCUGAGCCACCACGAUUCCCAAAUCCAUCUCCUUGCUCCCCACCCUACCCAUGGCGCCGUCGACGCCGACGGGCUACUACAAGUGCGGUCCAACCCAAUCCCCAACCCUGUCGUACGCACCUGCCACUUCGGCCCUACCACCAGAGACGGACACCCAAGUUCGUUGCGACGCCGGAGGGUGAGGAGGCGCAGCACGAAGGCGGGAAGGAGGGGGAGACGCGACCCAAUCUCAGGCCGAACCUGCUCCUCUCUGACAGCGGCUUGGGCUUCGUCCUCUGAUAAUUCUCCGAGACGGCCAUGCCCCACCCAGCCACGAGCUCAAACAACUCAAGUUUCAAUCAAUCCUGGUCUGCUGAUAUGGAGAGCGCAAGACCUGGUCUUUGGUUCCUGGAACAAGUGAUUUUAUUGCCUUAUAAUUAUUUCCAUCUCAUUUCCCAAUACGGAUGAUCAGAUUUUACAGGUUAUUAGGGGGUAUCCCAAUGGAUAGGACGCCCGCGGGUGGCUGUCGGCUUGAGCUGGUGCGGUACCAUCACGAAUAUCGGGAUGGGUGGACGGGGAGGAAGGGUGGAAGCCAGGGCGACAUUGGGAAAAAACACGGGCCAUCAGCAGACAAGCAAUAAAUGGUUCUUGAGCAGCACACAAGCAAGAAAUGGUGCUUGAGGUUGUAGGGCCGAGCAGAUAUACACGAGCGGUACGCAUCUCAUUUUCUUCGUCAGGUUCUAAAUGAUCCCUCGAGUUUGCAUCCAUUUGUAUUUACGUUACGAAAUCAUAUAUUCAUGGUUUAUCUCCCUUUUAAGGGUCUAGCUAAACUAAAGUGAAUACCAUUAUGUAACCAAUUUUGUAAAUUGAGUUUGAGCUUGAACAAAGAAAAGUUUACCAAAUAACACAUAAUGGGACUUAUAUUUCGGGAGAUAUUGGAGUACCACCCUCAGCUUCUCAAGGAUUACAUGAACGGCUUUGAAAAAAUGAGCUUUCUAUAUGCCGGGUUUCUGUGACAUGCUUGUAAACUUUUUUCUCUUUUAUUUUGUUUAUGUAGCAACAUUCACAACUUCUGCCAUUGGUUCUUGAUUUUUUUGCUAUGAAGUGAUGUUGACAAUUUCUAGAGGCAAUUCGCUGACUUAGAAGAUGAUAUUGCAAAGAGCAAGGCAGUCAACAUGAAGCAUGUUUAUCUCGCAAGGACUACAAGAUCUGAAAAAUUAAAUACAAGCAGGACUCAACAGUUCACUCUACUAUGAUUCCUCCAACAAAUUAUCUUCCUUAUUCCUCCCAAGUUCCUCAAAGGAUUCCAACAGGUGUUUAUUAGCAUUCUGUCACAUACUGACCUGGUAUUAUUUUUCCCAUUUAACUUCAAACAGCAUCAGUCGAACUAUUUCGCCUUUGUCACUCUCGCAGCAAGACCAGAUAGAGUGGCUUUCUCAGCGACAUCAAUGCAAAAUGCAAGUAUCACCGAUGGACGCAUUGGAUGAAUAGGGCUAAGGGAAUUGAAGUUAUACUACUCUUGCAUGCAACAACACCUGCAGGGGACACGUAAACACUCCAGGCACGCAAGGUCACAUCGGAGGAUGGCAUGCUGUCCUCCGACUAUUACGAUUCCACCAUUCAGCAGCAUGGCCAGGGCGGGUGGAUACAACAUGGUUGCUGUGGCCGCAAGGAUGUACUACGACAAGGGUCGGGCAAGCUUGCGGGGUCGAGCAUGAGAAGGGAGCACGAGAACGGCUACAGUUCCUGUUCCAGGCAGAGGUUCAGGGUGCAGGGCCACAUGCCUAACCAAUAUAUGGCCUCUUGUGAACUUCCAUUCUCUCGGUUGUGCGCUACUACAUCCGGUCGCUCUGAGACAAAGGAGACGAUGGUGGCCAAAGAAACAUCAUCCCCAACUCAGAGCUCCAAAUCUUGUGUCUUGACAUGGAAAGAUUCGGACCUUGAGGAUUGGAGUUUGAACGAGAUGCAUUUGGUGUGAGAGAAAGAUGUCUCACAUGCUCUGUUGACAAGGAUGAGUGGGUUGGCGCUGUGUCAGCACAUGAUACUAUACAAGCUAUCAUUUGCGGUUUUUCCUUCCAGGUUAUCAGUGUUAUUUAGUACAAUGAAGAUCUUAAUUUUUGCUAUAUUUUUUGUAUUUUUGUCCUGAUACACCAUUUAGGUUGCGAUAGUGGUAGAAAGACACUUAACUUGUCCUUAACCCGAUGGCGAAGGAGAUGUCCCAUGGGGAGGAAAAGGAGUGGAUGCUUGGUUGUUGUGGAAAAGGGAAACAGGGAGAAUGGCGUCGAUAUUCAGCAAGAAUAAACCGAAUGCUUGA